RNAcentral lists this ribosomal RNA (253 nucleotides) under uncultured bacterium. RNAcentral's name for it is "partial 16S ribosomal RNA". It matches the Rfam family "Bacterial small subunit ribosomal RNA", at positions 524 to 776 of the family's 1533-position model. The record is from RNAcentral.
UACGUAGGGGGCAAGCGUUGUCCGGAAUCAUUGGGCGUAAAGCGCGUGUAGGCGGUCCGGUAAGUCCGCUGUGAAAGUCGGGGGCUUAACCCUCGGAUGCCGGUGGAUACUGUCGGGCUUGAGUACGGAAGAGGCGAGUGGAAUUCCUGGUGUAGCGGUGAAAUGCGCAGAUAUCAGGAGGAACACCAAUUGCGAAGGCAGCUCGCUGGGACGUUACUGACGCUGAGACGCGAAAGCAUGGGGAUCAAACAGG